RNAcentral lists this long non-coding RNA (1680 nucleotides) under Mus musculus (house mouse). Its description in RNAcentral is "long non-coding RNA chr12:38592915-38594595". Lineage: Eukaryota; Metazoa; Chordata; Mammalia; Rodentia; Muridae. The record is from RNAcentral.
GGUGGGUAGCGAAUCUGUUUUUGGGAUUUUUUUAGUUAAUUAAUUUAACACAUAUAAGCAAACUUACUAAACAAACUUGGUAUGUAUUCAUACAUUUAUUCAUUAUUAUUAAUUAUAAGUAAAAAAAGAGGUUAUGAAUUUGAAAUGGAACAAGAAUUUAGGGAGGUUGGGGGCACAGAAAAAGGAAUGAAGGAUGCUAUAAUUUUAUUUUAAGUAAAAUAAAAAAUAUAUUAAGUUUGUUCAAAGCAAAGUUCUGCCUUCAAUAACACAUUCAACUCUGUGUAUGAGGAAGUGUCUUUGGCUCUCCCUUUCUUCAUGGGAAUUGGAAGUUAAUGAACUAUAAUAAAUAGCUACACUAUGUCACUGCUGUUGCUAUAGGUAAUAGUGUCUUAGUCUUAGGUCUCUACCUACCCCAAGAGACUUCUACUAUACUUCACAAAAGCUAAGACAUUAGUUUUUAAGAAAGGUAAAUUCUCAGGUGUUUCACAUCUUGACAGUUGUUGUGUAGUUUCUUAAUGAAAACUCCUAUUCUCUAGGCCAACUACCACUUUCUAAUUCUUACUCAUUACCUCUGUUCCCUGAAUUCAAAAGUUUUGUGUGUGUGUGUGUGUGUGUGUGUGUGUGUGUGUGUGUAUUCUAUGCAGAACAAAUUCCCUUUGUUGUGUGCAAAUUAGCACUCCUGUGUGAAUCUGUUUAUCCUCAAAAACUUGCUUUAAUCCUUUGUUAAGGAAUAGGAAAAUGCUGAAUAGAUGCUGAGGUCAACUCUAAAAUUGCACUGGAUGGUUCAUUUCUUUGACCCAAUACCCACACAUUUUGAGCCCAAUGUUAUAAGUUUAUCAGUCCAAAAGUCUCAUUUGGGUUUGGGGCAGACUAGGUCUAUUUCAGACAUAGUGACCUUAGUUGGCUGUAUACAUGAGGGAGAUUCUGUGACCCAUUUAAGCAUCUGCUCAAUAAUUCGCACCUUGUUCGAUGGAUGCCUGUAAGUGUCAAACCAAAGCUGUUAGUAGGUAUUCUUUGAAAUGUGUAUUUCAGCUCUACACUCACUAUUUAAAAAAACAGACCAUUCUAAUAAUUUUUUCUAAUAAAGUCAAUACUUAUUCUGUAGUUUUACCUGAGAAAGAGAAAAAUAAAAGAAUAAUAGGAAGGGCUUUCACAGGGGCUUUAAACUAGCUAGUAAAAGUGGCACUCGGAGCAAACACAUUAAAAUUCUAUUUUCCUUUACAAGUGUUUGGUGCAGAUGACCCCCACUGAUCUUAAAUAUAUUUCUGUAUCUCUAACUGAAUAGAGGUUUUCCGUACAGCAUGUUCUAAUGGCACUCUGGCCUUUAGCCAACAAGGCAGUGAAUAAGGCUAUUUUUAAAAUACAGAAGCUGGGAACAGCUGCAGCAAUCAAAUUUGAUAAAAACAGAGAGGAACUUUGCUUUUUUUUUCCCCUAACGGUUUGUCCAAGUUUAGUCUUCUUUCAUAGAACUGCCUUUGUCCUGUUGUAUGAAGGGCUACAAGACCAAUACAGUGAAGCCCUUUUAAACAAAUAACUUCUACAAGAAUACAACUAAAAAGAAUCAUUUUCCUUUGUCCCAAGGAUAUCAAUGCAGUGGUGUUUUGAACUUUUUUUUUAAAGUUUUACAUUUUGUAUGAGCAUUCAGAAGAAAAGUGAAGCACAUGAGUGAAGUCUACGAUC